This 647-nucleotide ribosomal RNA is filed under the name uncultured Prevotella sp. RNAcentral's name for it is "bacterial SSU rRNA". It matches the Rfam family "Bacterial small subunit ribosomal RNA", at positions 65 to 700 of the family's 1533-position model. The record is from RNAcentral. Lineage: Bacteria; Pseudomonadati; Bacteroidota; Bacteroidia; Bacteroidales; Prevotellaceae.
AGGGGCAGCAUAACGAAAGCUUGCUUUUGUUGAUGGCGUACCGGCGCACGGGUGAGUAACGCGUAUCCAACCUUCCCUAUACUAGAGGAUAGCCCGGCGAAAGUCGGAUUAAUACUCUAUGUUCUUCGUAGAAGACAUCUGAAAUGAAGCAAAGGUUUACCGGUAUAGGAUGGGGAUGCGUCUGAUUAGGUUGUUGGCGGGGUAACGGCCCACCAAGCCUACGAUCAGUAGGGGUUCUGAGAGGAAGGUCCCCUACAUUGGAACUGAGACACGGUCCAAACUCCUACGGGAGGCAGCAGUGAGGAAUAUUGGUCAAUGGACGAGAGUCUGAACCAGCCAAGUAGCGUGCAGGAUGACGGCCCUAUGGGUUGUAAACUGCUUUUAUACAGGGAUAAAGUGCACUACGUGUAGUGUUUUGUAGGUACUGUAUGAAUAAGGACCGGCUAAUUCCGUGCCAGCAGCCGCGGUAAUACGGAAGGUCCGGGCGUUAUCCGGAUUUAUUGGGUUUAAAGGGAGCGCAGGCUGAUGAUUAAGCGUGACGUGAAAUGUAGCCGCUCAACGGCUGAACUGCGUCGCGAACUGGUUAUCUUGAGUGAGUUCGAUGUUGGCGGAAUUCGUGGUGUAGCGGUGAAAUGCUUAGAUAUCAC